AGAGGAUGAGGUGAAGCCUGAGAAACAGAAAAGGAAACAAGGGUUGCGCAGGAGUCCCAUCAGGAAGGUCCGGAAGUCUUUAGCCUUGGAUAUUGUGGAUGAAGAUACGACACAAAAUCUGCCUGCCCUCCCCAAGACUGUGUGUUUCAAAAGAGCCCAGCCUGUGAAUUUCUUGUCAAGGUCCCUGAACCUUUCCUCCUCGAG
This is a long non-coding RNA of Chiroxiphia lanceolata (lance-tailed manakin), 204 nucleotides long. RefSeq lists it as uncharacterized. The record is from RefSeq and is a predicted model, not a curated record. The transcript has 3 exons. Lineage: Eukaryota; Metazoa; Chordata; Aves; Passeriformes; Pipridae.